Long non-coding RNA from Gekko japonicus, 2088 nucleotides. RefSeq lists it as uncharacterized. The record is from RefSeq and is a predicted model, not a curated record. NCBI's taxonomy places the organism in Eukaryota, Metazoa, Chordata, Lepidosauria, Squamata, Gekkonidae. The transcript is spliced from 3 exons.
AAAAAACACAGACCAUACUCACAGAGCUGAAGCUGAAGUUUGAGAUCACUGAGCAGGAAAAGCAAUCAAUCACAGAUGAACUCAAACAGUGUAAAGACAGCCUGAAGCUGCUACAAGAAAAAGGAAACCAUCCUUCCAUAUUACCACCCGUCCCAGCCGUAUUCAUCGGCCUAAUCCUGGCUUUCCUGUUUUGGUGUUACAGCCCAUUGUGGUAGAGAAAGAGACAAUGGCCUUGGAUGCCUGUGAUGGCAGCUUUGGUAGCGGUGACAGCCAUGGUGCUGUACCCAGGCCUAACCAGAGCUUCUCCAUGAGAACUGUUGUUGAAUCCAUACACCGUCUGCUCUUUAGAAGCUGGCAUCAUUCACACACUGGGGGAAAACCAGAUUUCAUUCUCUUCCUUUUUACCUCUUAAUACCACAGAGUUUGGCUUCCGAACAGCAGUAGGGUCGUUUGCUUUAAGCUGUACAAAACGUUUCUGUCUAUAAAGAGGGAAUAAAAUUAUUACUUCAUUCUAUCGUGAGCAAUAUCGUUGCUUACAAUUUCAUGUAAUUCUUUAAAAUAGUAUGUUGGAGUUCUAAAUACUGUUAUGGUGGCCUAAAGUAGGCUUCUUGGUACCAAAUUAUUUAUAAUGGUUAGGUGUGUGGGGUGUUUUACUUUAGAAUCUGAUUGCCAGAUUGAAAGCAGUGCAUUUUUUUCUGAUUGGGUCACCCAUGCCAAAUAUCCUUUAAAUACUUGGAAGCAGAUGCAGUGUGCUCAGUGCCUUUCAGUUUGACUUUAUUUGUACAUUAACAUACCAUUUUUUUUUACUUGCUGUGAGUCACUGAGCUAUGGGGAACAAUUUCUUUUUCCAAGUCUUUGGACGGAAACAAAUAUUUUUCUUCAGUAAAGGUCCUAUUGUAUUGAUGACUUGGGAAUGAGUAUAAUUCAUUGCCAGCCUUAAAGAGCUCUAGAAGCAACGGAAUGGGAAGCAUCCAUCUAGACUGUUCUUGUGUGCAGGUGUGUGCAUGUGUGUGCCUGAGUGAAUUAAGGGUUUUCUGGGAGCAAAAUUUUUCUGAUGGACAUAGUGCAGUGAUCCAACUUUUAGUUUGAAUGUAAUUUAUUAAAUCUCAUGUAUAUAGACACUAUAAGACUCAACAUAUUUUUCACAUAUCACAUUAUAGAAAUGAUUUUUUUUUCCAGUCACUUACUAUCAAAACUGAACUGGGAAAAUGAUGUUUGUCUCUUUACUUGUACUUUCAUUGGCAUAACUUCAUUAUGCGAAGUGCUCGAGUGCUUCUGUUUUUAGGGGAAGGGAAAAUGGAGAAAAAAAAAUCCAAAAUGGGUAAGCUUUCUGGAAGGUUAAAAUAACCUAAUUGGUCCUCUAUGCAACAACUUAAGCUGAAAGAAUGUGCUGUCAACAAUUAGAAGCUUUACAUCACAAUUCAAAUGGCCUUAACAUUAAUACCCUCUGUAAAUGUUGACUCCAGAAUGGGGGCAGCACUAAUUAAAACCUGAAUCAAGUGUUGGCUUGCACAGCAAAACAGCUCUGUUCAUUAAGGUCUAUACUGAUGUAAAAAGAAUUGCUAAUGAUAAUUGAAAUGUUUCAGCUGGUGGGUAAUUCAUAGGAAGGUUUUCUCAGCAAAACUUCCAGUGGUUUAGAGGGUUUAAUGGCAAUCCACAGAUCUAGUUGAAUAUUUAAAUAGGGUUUUUUAGUUUAUGAUUCGCCUUGGAGGUUUUGAGGGUCAUUUUCCUUUAAUGGUUCUGUCUAAAGCUAUUUGGGAUUUGUUAAUGGGAAGAUCACUAGAUUUAAGGGAAUGUUAGACCACAGACUCUUAGAAAAUAUCAUUUUUGUUCAUUAUUUUCAGUUGCAGGAAGCUGCCACCUAUCCACAAAACACACACAUGCCAGUGGUACACAGUACCUCUUGUAUAUAGGUUAUUGCAAAUAUUAUUCUGAAAAUGCUUAAAUUCAGAAUUACAUUUUUUAAAGUAAAUAAUUGUUUUAAAUCUAUUUUGUAAAGAUAUAAAAACCAAUAGAAUUUCUGGAGUACAGAUUGAACUAUUUGCACUAACACACGUGAUGUGCAUGAUUUAAUAAAAUAACUUUACU